GAAGUUAAGCUUCUUAGCGCCGAAGGUAGUGAGGGGUUUCCCCUUGUGAGACUAGGACGUUGCCACGC
Molecule: ribosomal RNA, 68 nt
Filed under: Desemzia incerta
Lineage: Bacteria; Bacillati; Bacillota; Bacilli; Lactobacillales; Carnobacteriaceae
Source: RNAcentral